RNAcentral lists this ribosomal RNA (253 nucleotides) under uncultured bacterium. RNAcentral describes it as "partial 16S ribosomal RNA". It matches the Rfam family "Bacterial small subunit ribosomal RNA", at positions 524 to 776 of the family's 1533-position model. The record is from RNAcentral.
UACGUAGGGUGCAAGCGUUAAUCGGAAUUACUGGGCGUAAAGCGUGCGCAGGCGGCUUCGCAAGACAGAUGUGAAAUCCCCGGGCUUAACCUGGGAACUGCAUUUGUGACUGGCAAGCUAGAGUAUGGCAGAGGGGGGUAGAAUUCCACGUGUAGCAGUGAAAUGCGUAGAGAUGUGGAGGAAUACCGAUGGCGAAGGCAGCCCCCUGGGCCAAUACUGACGCUCAUGCACGAAAGCGUGGGGAGCAAACAGG